GCACCGGUAGUCUAAUGGUUGAGUUAUCUGCCUUCCAAGCAGAUGGUCCGGGUUCGAUUCCCGGGCGGUGCA
Non-coding RNA from Perkinsus marinus ATCC 50983, 72 nucleotides. NCBI's taxonomy places the organism in Eukaryota, Perkinsozoa, Perkinsida, Perkinsidae. The record is from Rfam.